Molecule: ribosomal RNA, 328 nt
Filed under: Acanthamoeba sp.
Lineage: Eukaryota; Discosea; Longamoebia; Acanthamoebidae
Description: SSU rRNA
Rfam family: Eukaryotic small subunit ribosomal RNA
Source: RNAcentral
CAGAUCCAAUUUUCUGCCACCGAAUACAUUAGCAUGGGAUAAUGGAAUAGGACCCUGUCCUCCUAUUUUCAGUUGGUUUGCCGCGAGGACCAGGGUAAUGAUUAAUAGGGAUAGUUGGGGGCAUUAAUAUUUAAUUGUCAGAGGUGAAAUUCUUGGAUUUAUGAAAGAUUAACUUCUGCGAAAGCAUCUGCCAAGGAUGUUUUCAUUAAUCAAGAACGAAAGUUAGGGGAUCGAAGACGAUCAGAUACCGUCGUAGUCUUAACCAUAAACGAUGCCGACCAGCGAUUAGGAGACGUUGAAUACAAAACACCACCAUGCGCAUUGCGGU